Molecule: non-coding RNA, 21 nt
Filed under: Arabidopsis thaliana (thale cress)
Lineage: Eukaryota; Viridiplantae; Streptophyta; Magnoliopsida; Brassicales; Brassicaceae
Source: RNAcentral
CCAAACUGGGUCGCCGUUGCU